RNAcentral lists this ribosomal RNA (427 nucleotides) under uncultured bacterium. Its description in RNAcentral is "bacterial SSU rRNA". It matches the Rfam family "Bacterial small subunit ribosomal RNA", at positions 355 to 774 of the family's 1533-position model. The record is from RNAcentral.
UGGGGAAUUUUGGACAAUGGGCGCAAGCCUGAUCCAGCAAUGCCGCGUGCAGGAUGAAGGCCUUCGGGUUGUAAACUGCUUUUGUACGGAGCGAAAAGGUCUGCCCUAAUACGGUGGGCUCAUGACGGUACCGUAAGAAUAAGCACCGGCUAACUACGUGCCAGCAGCCGCGGUAAUACGUAGGGUGCGAGCGUUAAUCGGAAUUACUGGGCGUAAAGCGUGCGCAGGCGGCUAUAUAAGACAGGUGUGAAAUCCCCGGGCUCAACCUGGGACCUGCAUUUGUGACUGUAUAGCUAGAGUACGGUAGAGGGGGAUGGAAUUCCGCGUGUAGCAGUGAAAUGCGUAGAUAUGCGGAGGAACACCGAUGGCGAAGGCAAUCCCCUGGACCUGUACUGACGCUCAUGCACGAAAGCGUGGGGAGCAAACA